UGGGGAAUUUUGGACAAUGGGCGAAAGCCUGAUCCAGCAAUGCCGCGUGUGUGAAGAAGGCCUUCGGGUUGUAAAGCACUUUUGUCCGGGAAAGAAAUGGCUCUGGUUAAUACCUGGGGCUCGAUGACGGUACCCGGAAGAAUAAGGACCGGCUAACUACGUGCCAGCAGCCGCGGUAAUACGUAGGGUCCAAGCGUUAAUCGGAAUUACUGGGCGUAAAGCGUGCGCAGGCGGUUGUGCAAGACCCGAUGUGAAAAUCCCCGAGGCUUAACUUGGGAAUUGCAUUGGUGACUGCACGGCUAGAGUGUGUCAGAGGGGGGUAGAAUUCCACGUGUAGCAGUGAAAUGCGUAGAGAUGUGGAGGAAUACCGAUGGCGAAGGCAGCCCCCUGGGAUAACACUGACGCUCAUGCACG
Molecule: ribosomal RNA, 414 nt
Filed under: uncultured bacterium
Lineage: Bacteria
Description: partial 16S ribosomal RNA
Rfam family: Bacterial small subunit ribosomal RNA
Source: RNAcentral